This 228-nucleotide ribosomal RNA is filed under the name uncultured bacterium. Its description in RNAcentral is "partial 16S ribosomal RNA". The record is from RNAcentral.
CAGGAAGAAAGGCGGUUUUAGUUUGCUUUUCGAAGAAGAAGCCUUCGCCGCCACCGAAUCUGGUCAACCGGCUAUCGUGCCGGGCAAUCACAAAAAAAGCGAAUUGUAUCGCCGGCUGAUUCACCACGAUCCGGAAGAGCGCAUGUCCCAGGAUGCCGAUCCACUCUCCGAAACGGAGAUUCAACUCGUCGCCAAAUGGAUCGAUCAGGGCGCGAAGUGGGAAAAACA